Molecule: ribosomal RNA, 239 nt
Filed under: uncultured bacterium
Lineage: Bacteria
Description: partial 16S ribosomal RNA
Rfam family: Bacterial small subunit ribosomal RNA
Source: RNAcentral
CGGCGGACGGGUGAGUAACGCGUGGGUAACCGUGCCUCAUACAGGGGGAUAACAGUUGGAAACGGCUGCUAAUACCGCAUAAGCGCACAGUACCGCAUGGUACGGUGUGAAAAACUCCGGUGGUAUGAGAUGGACCCGCGUCUGAUUAGGUAGUUGGUGGGAUAACGGCCUACCAAGCCGACGAUCAGUAGCCGACCUGAGAGGGUGACCGGCCACAUUGGGACUGAGACACGGCCCAA